This 71-nucleotide transfer RNA is filed under the name Cordylochernes scorpioides. RNAcentral describes it as "tRNA-Gly". It matches the Rfam family "tRNA". Rfam says of the family: Transfer RNA (tRNA) molecules are approximately 80 nucleotides in length. Their secondary structure includes four short double-helical elements and three loops (D, anti-codon, and T loops). Further hydrogen bonds mediate the characteristic L-shaped molecular structure. tRNAs have two regions of fundamental functional importance: the anti-codon, which is responsible for specific mRNA codon recognition, and the 3' end, to which the tRNAs corresponding amino acid is attached (by aminoacyl-tRNA synthetases). tRNAs cope with the degeneracy of the genetic code in two manners: having more than one tRNA (with a specific anti-codon) for a particular amino acid; and 'wobble' base-pairing, i.e. permitting non-standard base-pairing at the 3rd anti-codon position. Lineage: Eukaryota; Metazoa; Arthropoda; Arachnida; Pseudoscorpiones; Chernetidae. The record is from RNAcentral.
GCAUCGGUGGAUCAGUGGUAGAAUGCUCGCCUGCCACGAGGGCGGGCCGGUUUCGAUUCCCGGCCGAUGCA